Rattus norvegicus (Norway rat) is the source of this 9727-nucleotide long non-coding RNA. RefSeq lists it as uncharacterized. The record is from RefSeq and is a predicted model, not a curated record. Lineage: Eukaryota; Metazoa; Chordata; Mammalia; Rodentia; Muridae.
UGGAUGCACCCAAGGACCAUGAACGGAGUCGCUUACACUCUGGGCCAAACCCUGCAUAAGACUGCUAGCUGCUCCAGAAGCCAAGGGUAAAUCGUGGAACAUGUUCUCUUCCUAUCACUCCAAGGAGCCAGAGCUGCUGAAACCCUGACCUUAGACGCUGUGUGCAUGCAUGCAUGCCAUGUGCUCACGUAUGCAUGCACACACACACACACACACACACACACACACACACACACACACACACACACAGGUUCUCCCUGGUAUUGCCACCCUCAGCCACAGCCUCUGACAAGUCCUGUACUGCUAUGGAUCUGGCACUGACUGGAAACUGGGGGGGGGGGGGGGGGACACUAAGGAUGGAUAUGGGAGGAGCUGGGAGAGGGAAGUGACUAUGACCAAGAUACAUUGUAUAAGAUUCCCAAACAACUGAUACAAAUGUUUAAAGCGGUCUUUUCAAAAAGAUGAUGAGAGCCGGAAAGAGAUCGCAGGAGCAGAUCACCCUCUGCAGAGAGGGCCAUGGCUCAUCCCUCGCUCACUCGCUCACAGACCAAAUUUGCUUCUGGCCUCUGGAAUGGUGAAGAUAUGCCUGCAGUUUAAGCCACUGUGUCCCUGGUCCUUGGGUACAUCCAGCAGAGUAUAUGCGGGGGCCUCCGAAAUUGUUAAGACUCAUUAAAAGAAUUCCUUGGUAGACUUGGUUCAGGCGGCUUGAUCAGUAAAGCCCUUUCCCUGCAAGCAUGACGAACUACAUACAUUCCAUGCUCAGAACCCACCUCAAAAACCUGGGUGUGGUGCCCCAUGCUUGUAUCCCAGUACUGGGAAGGCAGAGACAAGUGGAUCCCUGAGGUUUGCUGCUAAGUUAGCUUAGUUAGUGAGCUCGCCAAUGACUGACCCUCUCUUUAUAAAACCAGCUAGGGGAUUCCUGAGAAACACAGGAGAUCCACCUCUGCUAUACACACACACACACACACACACACACACACACACACACACGCUCGUGCAUGCACAUACACACAUGUGGACACGCACACGCAAUACACAGACACAUACACGUGUAACACACACCACAACAGACACACAUGUACACAGACACACUACCUUCGAUGAUAUUUAUGAAACAGAACCCAUAUGAGCCGUUGUUUCAAGCAGAGGUUAAUACAGUGAAAGAGGUACUAGGACACUUGUUAAAUGAAAAUUUCAAAGCCAACAUGCACAUGAGUCAGUCUGUGAAUUAUUUGUGACUUUUGACUCUCCAGCCACAUGGCAGUAGAGGAGAAACAAGCAAUCCUUUAAAAAGCCAAAAUGUCACUACUUAAGCCAAGCCCUGCCUGAACUGUUCUAAUUGUAUCUAAAUUGUUUCCUUGGUUCCUCUCUCAAUAGUUUGAUGUGGCAGGUGCCCGGGGCCUUUAGCUUGCUAAUCAAUUAUUAAUCUGGGAGUUAAUAAUUCAUGUUAAUUGGUGCUAUAAGCACUUUCUCUGGCAAAUGUGAGCAAAGGUCACAACGUUUAACAGCAAAGGUGAAACAUUCUCCAAGUUUCUUUUUCCAUGGCCUAGCAUGAAAAUACUAAGAUACGGAGGAUGACAUUUAACUAGAGCUGGGAAAGCAAGAUAACUCCACAGCUGAAAGACUAGAUGUCUCUCUGGGGGUGGCCAGCUCUGUUCUGCAGCCUGCUGGAAGGAGGAGAGGUCUCUGGAGCUGACAGGGACAGGACUUCAGUCACACAGGGAGCAGCCUUCCUCGGAUGCACUCACUCGGAUGAAGGUUUGUGGGCCUUUGUCAACAAGAGGAAUAGUGUAAGUGGGAGCCUAGAUCCCUGCUAGUUAUGAAAGCCUUUCUUCAGGAAACAAAAAGGAGGCAUUUGAGAGACUAGCACUCUCCUGGGUUUGUCUCUAUUCUCUAAACAGUGAGAAUAGAGGACACAUCUCAUCCUAGGAUAGCCACGGAAGGAAUUCUGAGCAAAACCUCACUACCAUUGAGCGCUCUGGGUUUAACAAAUGUACAUAUGCUCUGAGCUCUAUUUCCAGGAAGGAGAUGGGGUGAUUCCGCAUUGCCACAGAAGGCAAACAAAAAAAUAGCUUCUUAUCUCAUCCAACCUGGACUCUCUUCCCAGCCCACUCCUUUGCCCUGGGCCUGCAAGGCAGCCACCUAGGCCUGGGCUCUGUGGGUGUUUGAUCCCCUUUGAGCCUUGAUAAUUAUUUGAAAGGUUCCUGUCAAAUCCCAGCCUCGUGUGAUGAAAUAACUCGUUCCCAUUUGGAGAAUAAAACUGUUCCUGGUAGCUCUUUGCAGCCUUGAGAAUGAGUGCUGCCGACUCAGGAUAAGGCUUAAAUGGAAACCACGGGUUCAGGGGGGCCAGGGCCAGGAGGCCAAACCUCCACCUUCUGUUUUUCUAAGGGGAACGUGGGUAAUACAUGCUUUUCAUUGCCCCCCUUUUGGCCGUUUACAUAUUGGGGGCUGCACGUUGGCGGCAGGUCCUCUAUUUAGGGAGUCCUUGAAAACCUGCCCCCUUUCACAGUUUUCAUCCUGGCACAUGCGUGUGUUUUAAGCAGAAGGAAACCCCGAAUCCAAGCUAGGAAAAGAGAAACAUAUGUAGACAUGGGGGGAUUUUUUUUUGCAGCCCAGAGUCACACAAUAAGAAAGCAAUCAUUCAGCUGCGACUUUAAAAAAUGGAUCCUUGCCCGAAUUUCCCGACUAUUUUCCUUCUAAAUGACUGUUUCUUUACAGAUCUACGCUAAUGUAAAGAGACAGGUUGUCCCCGUGCCAGGUCCCAACAAGCAAAGCAGGACAGAGGCUGUUUUUAGGGAAGGAAUGCGGCAAGAUAAUGCCUGCUCUGUCUCCAGCAGCUUGCCUGCCAGCUCGCCUGCUCGCUGGGGCAGAGGCAGGAGAGGAAGACUGCUCGCCCACGGCCUGGUCAUGAGCACACGCCCCCCCACCUGACUCUGCGUAACCAGUUACGUGGCCACAGUCCUAUUAUUUGCAGUCAGUAACAAAGAUUCAUCCUUGUGUCGAUCAUACAGCACGGAGAGUCUUUGUCACUCAGUGUAAUUAAUAGCCUUCACCUCGCAAGGGACGAUGGGAGGUCACUGUUCUCAUGUGACCCGGGUGUCCUCAGAGGGAUGCUUCAUGGAUCCGUGCUGCCCUCCUUCUGACACAGUAAGUGGGGAAAGGGAACCAGGUAAAUCUGAGACCUUAGGUGGUUUACAUCAUCUGAGUCAGAGCGGAUCCUGCUGGAGGGACCACACGAAGUCACCUAGGCUGCCUCACCAUCCCAAAUACGCCCUCUUGAAGGCCACGCUCAAAUGACACCACAUGGCGUUCUCGCUCUAAACCCUCUGUGACUGAUGCCAGUGCUCCAUGCUUGUUUAAAAACUUGCACUACCUCUCUGCGCCUACACUAUGAACCCGUGCUGAGGGCUGGGCUGGAGGGAUGGAUCCAGUUCACCCCAGAGUCUCUAUUCGCAGUAGUCUAGUGUUUCCUGCUCUCUGCCUAAGUAUGCACGCCGGAUUCUGGUGCUGUUUUGCCAUACAAUGGAGUGAUUAGGAUAACAGCAGAAGCCGAAUCACAUUCUCGAAGCAGCUUGCAAGCUUGGCCAAGGUCCGGCUUUGGCUGCACUUUCAUCGGUCAACAUGGGCGCUGUGUUGUGAUGCGUAAGUUCACGAUCAGCCAGGCAGGAUUUAGAAUCACCAUGAAACACAUCCCUGGCUAUAUCUAUAAUGUGUUUCCCCCACCGAAAGCUUUGUGUGAACGGGGAAGAACCACCCUGAACAGGAGCCGGGGUCGCAGUGUAUGUAAAAGGAGAGAGUGGGCUGACGGCCAGCCUUCGGUUCUCUCUGCAUCCUGACUGCAGUGCACUGUGAGCAGUGGCCUGGUGCUCCUGCCCCACAGAUUCCCCACUGUCAUGGUCUGCACCCCAAACCCUGAGCAGAAGAAACUCCUCCUGCCUGAAGUUGCCUCAGUCGGGUGUUUUGUCACAGCAACAGGAAAGUAACCGACACAGUCAGACCGCUUAAGAACAGCAGGCCCAGCAGCCUCUGCUCUAUGUUCUGACAGCAAGCUCAUUCCAGACCCUCAGCCACAAUGCCUUUGCAGUUGCUCAUCUGGAGGACUUGGAUUCACAAAUCUGCUUGGGUAUUAUAAUGGCCGCCGCGACAUCUUUCUGUCUCAUGCCCAUGCUGACCUGCCCCGUGUCUCAGCUCUGGCUGUAUUACAAAACACUAUGGACUUGAAGCUCAAUGGGUCGUGACCCAGCAGGGUUCCUCCUGCCGUGGGAAGGGUCAGUUUCUUGUUGUGCCCUUGUGGGUCCCUUCUCCAGGACACACCAGUAUAAAAACUCUCCUUCCUGUAAAGUCACCAACCACAUCUCACCAGGAUUCAUUAAGCCCAAUAAACUCCCGAAAGCCCCAUCCACAGACCCAGCCAUGACGGGAGUUGGGGCUUCGAUAGAAAGUUUUGGGAGAAAUUCAACUUAGUCCAUGGUGACCUCUACCUCAGAGCCCCUCAAAGAGCAAAGCCCAGUUUCUACUCAGAGCACAAUGCCUACUCUACAGAUUAGCUUGCCAGGCAUUUUAGUGUAGGCAUUUUUAUUCGUGAUAUAUUUAAUAUAUAUUUAUAUUAUUCAUAUACAUUUAAUGUAACGAUAGUCACGUUGUAUGUGUUUUAGACUGCAGAAUAUGAAGUUAGCCCUGCAUAAUCAAUUUCUACCUAAAGUGUCAAUUUUGUAUUAAGACAUCCAUGUAUCAGCUGUCACUGUGGAUCAGCCACAUGAGUAAUUGGAAAUGUAACUUGCAUUCAGUGCCCUGUGUACGAUUUGUUCUAAAGACCUAAAGGAAAAGGUCAAAUCGGCUGGCAUGGCCACCUAAACACCGGACGAUGCUUUAUGAAACUGAGGCAGUUUCGCUUUACCACCGACCUGAGUCACAGCAGGAAAACAAACCAAGGGGGUGAUAAAGGCCGCUGCACCUGUCUCUGAAGCGACCACACCUUUUCCUCUUCCGUGAAUUAUUAAGACGGGGAAAAAGGAGGCGGAUGGAUGCUGUCGGGCAUCAUGUUUCUUCCUUGACUUUGCUCGUCAUUAGCUCAGGGUUCCGCCUGGCAUGUAUGUGGAGGGCCAGCGAGGUUUCAGAGCUGACUGAACAUUACCUCCAGUGGCUUCUAGGACCACUUAAGGUCUUGUCCUUGUCCUUGCUUUUAUUGCACAUUAAGGAAAAUGGGCACCUACAUUCCAGGCACCAACUUCAAGCUGGUUUAUAAAGUGCAGAAGCCACAAAGGAAGGACAGCUUGGUGGCCAUGGUCAGACAAGUCUGUGUCAGGCCUGACUUCCACAGAGGCUGGAGUGGCUGAGCUGGCUGACAGGAUAGGAGCUGAUGAAAGAGUGUUUGCCCAGCAGAUGGUUCAGUGAGCUCUAGAAUGGAGCCACCUUAGGAAACAGUCAUCUUGGCAAACACCCACCCUGCCAUUCUCAAGAGCCGGAUAUAAACAGUAAAGGGCUAACCUGAGAGGCUGCAUGUCCUGAGAAUAUGAGUUCAUGAGCCUGAGCAUGUUGUACCAUGACCCCCUCUGCCCAGCGUGGCUUCCUCCUCACCCAUACCCACCAGCCAAUUUCACAGUCACUCUUGUCACCAAGACUGGGUUCCGUCUGUCUCCUUGAUAGGACGUGAGCUUCUAGGAGUCUCUGACUUCUCAGUCUCCACCUGGAUCAUGGUUCAAGCUCAUUUUUCUGCUGUGUGUCUCUGUUCUAAUUCUCAGAAGUGUGUUCCCUGCCAGGGUGUGUGACCACAAGCUCCACUCAUUCAGAAGAAGAAAGCAAACGGCUGGCUCCCCACAGGGAAGUGCGUGUGUGUACGUGUGUGUGUGUAUGUGUGUGUAUGUGUGUGUGUGUAUGUGUGUGUAUGUGUGUGUGUAUGUGUGUGUGUAUGUGUAUGUGUGUGUAUGUGUGUGUAUGUGUGUGUGUGUAUGUGUGUGUAUGUGUGUGUAUGUGUGUGUACGUGUGUGUAUGUGUGUGUGUAUGUGUGUGUAUGUGUGUGUGUACGUGUGUGUAUGUGUGUGUGUACGUGUGUGUGUAUGUGUGUAUGUGUGUGUGUUUCUUAUGAUAUUUCUACUCAUUAAUAAACUGAGAAUGGAUUCCAGAAACACUGAAAGGUGAGGAAGGAACCACCUAACACACACACACACACACCCCACACCACAACACCAUACACACCACACACACACACACCACACCACACCACAACACCAUACACACCACACACACACACACUACACACCACACCACAACACCAUACACACUACACACACACACACCACACCACACCACAACACCAUACACACCACACACACACACUACACACCACACCACAACACCAUACACACUACACACACACACACUACACACCACACAUACACCACUCACACCACAUACACAACACACACACACACCCCACACCACAACACCAUACACACCACACACACACACACACACCACACCACAACACCAUACACACCACACACACACUACACACCAGACACACCCACACAUACAUACCACACACACACUCUCUCACACACACACAGACACCACACACACACAGACACCACACACACACUCUCUCUCACACACACAGACACCACACACACACAGAUACCACACACACACUCUCUCACACACACACAGACACCACACACACACACAGACACACACACCACACACCAUACCACAUACACACACAUAGGCAUAUACCACACACACACUCUCUCACACACACACAGACACCACACACACACACAGACACACACACCACACACCAUACCACAUACACACACAUAGGCAUAUACCACACACACACACACACACACACACACACACACACACACACACACACCACACACGGCAGGAGAGAAUACACAUAGGACUACCCAUCUCUCCACUCACUCACUUUUCCAGACUCCACUGACAUUAGCAAGCCUCAUCUUUGUUAUGGAAUUUGAUGAAGCCGUAUUAACUCUGGAAGACCACGUCUCCCUCUUGCUGCCCUUCCACACCCACCUUCCCUGUCACAGAAUUAAUAUGAACAUGCAGCGUCUGGUCAGGCCUACAUGAAUCAGCUACAGGAUCUGUGUCCCAGCAGUCUGAAUCUAUAGCUGGAACCCCUAGCCACCAUGUCCUGUUCGCCCCAGCACCCUGCUAGGACCUGACCACCUAUCUGUAAGGGUUUGUUAAGAUGGCUCCCGCUUCCUUAGCACGGGUGUGACUACUGAUGUGACACAGUUUUUGCUCAGACUCUCAUACUGUGGUUUGCUAAAGUAAACCCCUGCAGAGGUGCCAAAGCCGCUCUAUAGCCAUUGCUAGACCGUGAUGGCGGUGCCCUCCCAGUGUCUGCUCUUUUGGUUGUCGACACUCCUCUCAAAGGAGUUGGAAAGAUUAUAUCUUCAGAAAUUUCUUCACAGCCUGAGACAAUCUCUCCCCUCUAAAUCCACUGUGAAUAAUGGCAUCCGGCCCCGAGAACAAUGGAAAAUCCUCACUUCCUUGCACACGAUCGCUGUGGCAGGGUCACAGACUGGUUCUGUCAGUCUAGCUGGGACUUCCCCUAGGUUCUAUUCAAGAAGCCUUCUGGAGGCAAUCAUACCCACCUGGAGUCCCAGCUACUCUGGAAACUGAGGCAAGAGGAUAGCUUGAAUCUGGAUUUUAGGCCGGCAUUGACAAUAGAUCAAGACCCUAAGACGAAAGGAGAAAGGUGGAACCAAUCUCCCUCGUUUUGAAGCAGGAGGGUCAAUGUCUCGGAAUGAGCAGCCACUUCCCUUAUGAGCUUCUUCCCUCACCAUGAAAGACCUGGAGCAGUGACAGGUUGACAUUGCAGUGGAGUCUGCUGAUAGCUAUUUAACAGCCCUAAACAACACAGCCACACCGUUCCCUCUGAGGUGUGAGAAACACUGGAAAGGGAGGCAGGAAAAGCAUAAGGACCCGAAGAAGGUAGGAAGCAGGACUGUGUAAUGAGAUCUUCUAGUCAAAAGACAGCCAUUACCAUCUCAUGCACAGCAGCCUCCUAUGCCUCGACUGGGUCUUCUCGAGAACAGAGCUAUCAGCGGCAGGCCACGGAAGAAGGGCUCAGGGGCCCUACUCACUGAAGACUUCAGUUACUGAUGGAUUCAAGGAACCAUGGCUUCCGUUGUAUGCGCUGCCAAUCCCACCAGGUUUUAUUAGAGAGUCCCAGUCCGGGGCUCACACACAUGGCCCUGGUUAGUCUAACGGGGUCACAAGUAAAACCAGUACUGGAUGAGCAGGAGGUGGGAGAGGGCAAGCGGGGGACAGAAUGCACCCACACACACACACAUAUAUGAAAUUGUCAAAGGACAACAUCAACCAAUGAAAAGUCCUAGCUGGAGCAGCUCUAGUAGUAACUGUGUUGUCGUGCUUGAAACAUUAGCAACAAUCAAUAUUUCUCUGAGCCCCAGGCACAGUUCUAAAUGCUUACUAUGUCCUGCCACCGCCUGUGCGUCAUCAAUAUCCACUGGAUAUCCGGGGAAACUAAGAAAAUAAUAACAAUAAUCAGGCUAUAACGACCAUUGUGAAGUCGGCAACUUUGAUCAGCAUCGCGCACGCCUACUGCAGACAAACCUAAAACCCCUGGCCUAAUCUGCAGACGGCCUACGUGUCUGUCUGAGACGCUUAGCAGAAAGAAGGAUUCCACGCAGUGGGUCAACAAAUGUGUUUGGUUCCCUCCUAGUUGCUCUACCAUUCUUGGGUCCCCUGGAGGUCUUUGGAGUUCACCCUGCUAGUGAAGGAUGAGAUGUAGAGAAAUACGACAUCUCCUGUGACUGAGAGCAACCUGACUGACUUGAAUGCAUGCACAGAAGCUUGGAUCAUGUGGGAGGAGAGGGAGCAAGAGAGUGGACAUCCCUGCCCACCUGUUAGGGGUGGCCACCCACUCCCCCAUCCUACCCCAUGCCAGCCCACAUUGGCAGAAAUUAGACUAGGAUGCCUCAUGUUCUCAUGAGCUACCCGGCUGCUUUCUAAGCCAGUCUCCCACUCCUACACCUAACCCAGGGAAGUAAGAUGGGGUGAUGGCCGAGGUCUAUGUGAACGUUCCCUGAGUCACUCACGCUGUGGCCUGAAACAAACCAAGCUGACACACCACCAGGCCCUGACCUGGGCCAGGCAUCCUGAAAGAUGACCCGGCUUCUGAGUGCAAAGGCGGGGCUCAGCCCUUUGGAGUCUAGCUCUGGUUCCCACCACGCCUUGUUUAUUUGAUAGGUCUCAGAACCUUCCUGAAGUUCAGCCAGGUGUAACAGGACUUACCUGACCAUGGCUGGAGGCACCCAGGACGAGAGUGGGCAGAGGGGCAGGUCCUGUACUGGCCUUGCUUCUCCCUCCUUGCCAGCCAAAGUCAUCCUGUUUACUUCAGAUUUCAUUGGGCUCCUCAGUCAGUCAGUCUCUGAGGAGAUUCCCUGCAGCCAUUUUUUCCUAUUUGAAGAUACUCCUGUCAGAGUGCGGCAUCAGUAACUCACUGGAUCUUUAGAAAUCCGUGGGUUAAUACAGCUUAGUCUAGGUUGGUUCGCCUCUUGGCAUUUUUUCCUCCUCUGAGCCCACCAGCAGAAGCCAAGUCAACUCUGGAUUUUCAUUCUUCCUGCGGUAGACAAACUCUCCUCAAACAGAUUCCUUCCUCUGCAAGAUAACAAUGUAACUUGUUUUCCUAGAGAAGGUGUUCAGUGCAAAUAAACAGCACAAAAUUUUUAAA